RNAcentral lists this ribosomal RNA (495 nucleotides) under uncultured bacterium. Its description in RNAcentral is "partial 16S ribosomal RNA". It matches the Rfam family "Bacterial small subunit ribosomal RNA", at positions 28 to 507 of the family's 1533-position model. The record is from RNAcentral.
GACGAACGCUGGCGGCGUGCCUAAUACAUGCAAGUAGAACGCUGAAGGAGGAGCUUGCUUCUCUGGAUGAGUUGCGAACGGGUGAGUAACGCGUAGGUAACCUGCCUGGUAGCGGGGGAUAACUAUUGGAAACGAUAGCUAAUACCGCAUAAUAGCAGUUAUUGCAUGAUAACUGUUUGAAAGGUGCAAUUGCACCACUACCAGAUGGACCUGCGUUGUAUUAGCUAGUUGGUGGGGUAACGGCUCACCAAGGCGACGAUACAUAGCCGACCUGAGAGGGUGAUCGGCCACACUGGGACUGAGACACGGCCCAGACUCCUACGGGAGGCAGCAGUAGGGAAUCUUCGGCAAUGGACGGAAGUCUGACCGAGCAACGCCGCGUGAGUGAAGAAGAUUUUCGGAUCGUAAAGCUCUGUUGUAAGAGAAGAACGAGUGUGAGAGUGGAAAGUUCACACUGUGACGGUAUCUUACCAGAAAGGGACGGCUAACUACGUG